RNAcentral lists this ribosomal RNA (913 nucleotides) under uncultured marine archaeon. RNAcentral's name for it is "bacterial SSU rRNA". It matches the Rfam family "Archaeal small subunit ribosomal RNA", at positions 1 to 922 of the family's 1478-position model. The record is from RNAcentral.
UCCGGUUGAUCCUGCCGGACCUGACUGCUAUCGGAUUGAUACUAAGCCAUGCUAGUCUUUGUAGUAAUACAAGGCAUACGGCUCAGUAACGCGUAGUCAACCUACCCUAUGGACGGGGAUAAUCUCGGGAAACUGAGCAUAAUACCCGGUAGACCACUUCUCCUGGAAUGGUUAGUGGUUAAAAUGAUUCGUCGCCAUAGGAUGGGACUGCGGCCUAUCAGCUUGUUGGUGAGGUAAUGGCCCACCAAGGCGAUUACAGGUACGGGCUCUGAGAGGAGAGGCCCGGAGAUGGGUACUGAGACAAGGACCCAGGCCCUAUGGGGCGCAGCAGGCGAGAAAACUUUGCAAUGUGCGAAAGCACGACAAGGUUAAUCCGAGUGAUUUCUGCUAAAGGAAUCUUUUGUUAGUUCUAAAAAUACUAGUGAAUAAGGGGUGGGCAAGUUCUGGUGUCAGCCGCCGCGGUAAAACCAGCACCUCAAGUGGUCAGGAGGAUUAUUGGGCCUAAAGCAUCCGUAGCCUGUUCUAUAAGUUUGCGGUUAAAUCUAUACGCUCAACGUAUAGGCUGCCGUAAAUACUGUAGAACUAGGGAGUGGGAGAGGUAGACGGUACUCGGUAGGAAGGGGUAAAAUCCUUUGAUCUAUCGAUGACCACCUGUGGCGAAGGCGGUCUACCAGAACACGUUCGACGGUGAGGGAUGAAAGCUGGGGGAGCAAACCGGAUUAGAUACCCGGGUAGUCCCAGCUGUAAACGAUGCAGACUCGAUGAUGCAUUGGCAUAUAGCCAGUGCAGUGUCGCAGGGAAGCCGUUAAGUCUGCCGCCUGGGAAGUACGUACGCAAGUAUGAAACUUAAAGGAAUUGGCGGGGGAGCACCACAAGGGGUGAAGCCUGCGGUUCAAUUGGAGUCAACGCCGGA